Neofelis nebulosa (Clouded leopard) is the source of this 596-nucleotide long non-coding RNA. RefSeq lists it as uncharacterized. The record is from RefSeq and is a predicted model, not a curated record. Lineage: Eukaryota; Metazoa; Chordata; Mammalia; Carnivora; Felidae. The transcript is spliced from 2 exons.
UCAGCUGCCCUGGUCUGACAAGAGUCCCUAAAAUAGCUCUCAUCCAACGGGCAGAUUUAGCCUUCCCAAACCAUGCCCCAUCCCGGCAUCUGUGACAUACGGUCACAGAACAUAUGGGCUUAGUGUUCCAUCUGGAAGGGUAUCGUUAGAGGUAGUCGAAGCUACGAAAGUCGCGGCAAAGACGGAGGCUGUGCUGGGAGAUGAGGCAGCAUUCUCUUGCAGCUCCCUACGCUUCGUGGGUGAAUGGUGGCUUCACGUCUGGCCUCAGAAGACUCUGCCCUUUACCAGAGGCUGGGUUUGUCCCUGAGCGCCCGCUACGCUGAGGAAAACUUGGGCCAAGGCUUCAAGUAGGACUUAACUCUUGGUCCCCAUACAGCUGUGUAUUCAUUCUUUAGGGUCCUCAAGAGACUCCUCCUGGGGUCCAGAACAGCCUCCAGGAUGGAUGUACUCAACCUUCUGUCCUCACAAACCAUUAGAUCCAGCCCCUCCCCAAGACUGGGAAAGCCCACGGAGCGUCUUCAUAUUAUUAGUUCUUUUCUAUUUAAUUGCAGUAUUGCUUUUUUGCAUAUUUACAUAAACAUAUUCUUAUAUCUUUA